Molecule: non-coding RNA, 156 nt
Organism: Populus trichocarpa (black cottonwood)
Lineage: Eukaryota; Viridiplantae; Streptophyta; Magnoliopsida; Malpighiales; Salicaceae
Source: Rfam
UUUAGAACUCAAGAUAUGAACUGAAAACCGAACAGUGUUUGAGCUGCAGGACAGAUUCUGACUUCUCCGUUGUUGCUAAGAUUUGAACUUGAAAACGGCAGAAUUGAGUCUUGGACUCCACAUAAAAGUUUUAGGUCUAUGUCUUAGCUUUCCAUC